AAGAGAUGGAGGAGAGGGUGAGGGGUGUGCAGUCGGUAGUUACCAUGGAGAGAGUGUGUGAGAGGUUUUUCUCUACGAGCAUUGUCACCACCGGUCGACGAUGUAUUAACGUCAGCUAGGCGGCGGGAUCGAAUAGGUUUUACAGCGUAUUGAAUAGCUUUUUGGCACUUUUUCGAAGUUCCAACGUGGAGAGAGAGCACCGGCAUCUGAUGUUGGUGUGGGUUUAACGACAUUUUGAGCAGACAUUCCUGCAUUUGCUUGGCGUCGAGGUUUGAGUGGUUUAGCGGCAGAUUAAAGCGGUUUUCAGGUGUGGGAUGUAGUCACUAGAUUUAAGCAGUUUACUUUUGAGGGCCAUGAUGCACCUGCGUGUUUUAUAUGACCACAUCACAAGGAGAACAUUAAGGAAUCGAUGGAGAUUCAUGUUUUCACAACAAGGUUUUUUGAAACAAUAUUUCAACUUUGGAAGUUUGACCAAAAUCACUAUUGCCUCCUAUGGUAAUACAAAAUGAUGAUUGGACAUGGAAAGAUUUGUGUCAUUACUUGUAUGAAAAGAAGGCAUUUGAUAAUAUUGUUUUAUCUCCUGGGUCUGGUUCGCCAGCAUGUGCCAAUGAUAUAGAAUAAUUGAAGCUAUAUCAGGUUGAAAGCUAAGCGAUUAUGUGGAUGGUUAGGCGACCAUUGAAGGUUGAAGACUGAGAAGGCGUUUAGGAUUUCUUAUUUAAGUCUUGUGUUAGGAUCUUUUUUCAUGUACUGUUGUAGAAUCUAUAUAUAAACACAAUAUUAAUAUUUCAUUGUAUAUACAAAUGUAAAAGACAAAUAUUAUAGUUUCUAAAAUAAUAUUAAUUUCAUUGA
Cucumis melo (muskmelon) is the source of this 849-nucleotide long non-coding RNA. RefSeq lists it as uncharacterized. The transcript is spliced from 5 exons. NCBI's taxonomy places the organism in Eukaryota, Viridiplantae, Streptophyta, Magnoliopsida, Cucurbitales, Cucurbitaceae. The record is from RefSeq and is a predicted model, not a curated record.